ACGAACGCUGGCGGCAUGCCUAACACAUGCAAGUCGAACGAGACCUUCGGGUCUAGUGGCGCACGGGUGCGUAACGCGUGGGAACCUGCCCUUAGGUUCGGAAUAACUCCCCGAAAGGGGUGCUAAUACCGGAUAAUGUCUUCGGACCAAAGAUUUAUCGCCUUUGGAUGGGCCCGCGUUGGAUUAGCUAGUUGGUAGGGUAAAAGCCUACCAAGGCGACGAUCCAUAGCUGGUCUGAGAGGAUGAUCAGCCACACUGGGACCGAGACACGGCCCAGACUCCUACGGGAGGCAGCAGUGGGGAAUAUUGGACAAUGGGCGAAAGCCUGAUCCAGCAAUGCCGCGUGAGUGAUGAAGGCCUUAGGGUUGUAAAGCUCUUUUACCCGGGAUGAUAAUGACAGUACCGGGAGAAUAAGCUCCGGCUAACUCCGUG
This 432-nucleotide ribosomal RNA is filed under the name uncultured bacterium. RNAcentral's name for it is "partial 16S ribosomal RNA". It matches the Rfam family "Bacterial small subunit ribosomal RNA", at positions 29 to 507 of the family's 1533-position model. The record is from RNAcentral.